This 670-nucleotide ribosomal RNA is filed under the name Ruegeria sp. AU598. RNAcentral describes it as "bacterial SSU rRNA". It matches the Rfam family "Bacterial small subunit ribosomal RNA", at positions 64 to 780 of the family's 1533-position model. Lineage: Bacteria; Pseudomonadati; Pseudomonadota; Alphaproteobacteria; Rhodobacterales; Roseobacteraceae. The record is from RNAcentral.
GAGCGCGCCUUUCGGGGUGAGCGGCGGACGGGUUAGUAACGCGUGGGAAUAUACCCUUUUCUACGGAAUAGCCUCUGGAAACGGAGAGUAAUACCGUAUGAGCCCUUCGGGGGAAAGAUUUAUCGGGAAAGGAUUAGCCCGCGUUAGAUUAGGUAGUUGGUGGGGUAAUGGCCUACCAAGCCUACGAUCUAUAGCUGGUUUUAGAGGAUGAUCAGCAACACUGGGACUGAGACACGGCCCAGACUCCUACGGGAGGCAGCAGUGGGGAAUCUUGGACAAUGGGGGCAACCCUGAUCCAGCCAUGCCGCGUGAGUGAUGAAGGCCUUAGGGUCGUAAAGCUCUUUCGCCUGUGAAGAUAAUGACGGUAGCAGGUAAAGAAACCCCGGCUAACUCCGUGCCAGCAGCCGCGGUAAUACGGAGGGGGUUAGCGUUGUUCGGAAUUACUGGGCGUAAAGCGCACGUAGGCGGACUGGAAAGUUGGGGGUGAAAUCCCAGGGCUCAACCCUGGAACUGCCUCCAAAACUAUCAGUCUAGAGUUCGAGAGAGGUGAGUGGAAUUCCGAGUGUAGAGGUGAAAUUCGUAGAUAUUCGGAGGAACACCAGUGGCGAAGGCGGCUCACUGGCUCGAUACUGACGCUGAGGUGCGAAAGUGUGGGGAGCAAACAGGAUUA